This 301-nucleotide ribosomal RNA is filed under the name uncultured bacterium. RNAcentral describes it as "partial 16S ribosomal RNA". It matches the Rfam family "Bacterial small subunit ribosomal RNA", at positions 509 to 809 of the family's 1533-position model. The record is from RNAcentral.
CAGCCGCCACGGGAAUACAGAGGGUGCAAGCGUUAAUCGGAAUUACUGGGCGUAAAGCGCGCGUAGGUGGUUUGUUAAGUUGGAUGUGAAAGCCCCGGGCUCAACCUGGGAACUGCAUCCAAAACUGGCAAGCUAGAGUACGGUAGAGGGUGGUGGAAUUUCCUGUGUAGCGGUGAAAUGCGUAGAUAUAGGAAGGAACACCAGUGGCGAAGGCGACCACCUGGACUGAUACUGACACUGAGGUGCGAAAGCGUGGGGAGCAAACAGGAUUAGAUACCCGGGUAGUCCCUGUCUCUUAUAA